This is a long non-coding RNA of Meriones unguiculatus (Mongolian gerbil), 3654 nucleotides long. RefSeq lists it as uncharacterized. Lineage: Eukaryota; Metazoa; Chordata; Mammalia; Rodentia; Muridae. The record is from RefSeq and is a predicted model, not a curated record. The transcript has 10 exons.
GAGAGAGCCCAAAAGGAGUAGGGACGCAGGGAGUUCCAUUCAGCCCAGCGUUCUAAGGACAAAUUUAGGGGAGCUCACGCUCGCCCUGCGCUAGGAAGCCAGGCUAGUAGCAGAGCUCCGGAGGUCCGGGGCGGGGCACCGCGGACGGAGUUAGAGGAACCGGGCUGCCAGCUGGGGCCAAAGGCUCCCGCCUCGUGCGGGCUCCGAGGCAUCAGCGGUGCUAAGGACCACAACCCCUGAACGGGUCCCUGACGCCGACCGGCUCUCCCACUCCCACCCAGCUCAGGGCCCCUCAAGGCUGCAAUACCAGCCCACCUGGGGCAAGGAACACGGAGCGGUCCCUCCAGCGUCCACUCGCAUUUCACCUGUGCAGACACAAGCUAGACUCACCUAGGAAGACAAACUUCAAUUGAGAAAAUACCUUCAACCCAUUGAAGUGGUGCACCUGAGGCAAGAGGAUCACUUGAGUUCAAGGCCAGCCUGGUCUACAGAGGUUGAGCCGAGUGUGCCAAGUUCCUGCUCUGACUUCUCUUCAUAAUGAAUGGACUACAAGCCAUAAGGUAGAGUUAUCUGAGAAGAGGAAUCUCAAUUAAGAAAAUGCCUCCCUCCAUAAGACUGCCUAUAGGUGGAAGUAGAUCAAACAACUCACCAUGACAUAUACACAGCAGUUCUGUGUGUAAAUCGACUGUACUGGAAUGUGCCGUGAUUGUUACCAGAGGAGAAGAGAACUCAUUGAUUUUACCCAGCUGUGAACCCUGCAAGAUGCAAUAACUGGCCUGACAAGGGAGAAAGAAGACUUAGACCCAGAAAGCUCACAAAACUUACAAGGCUCCAGAAGCUCAGAGAAUUCCUAGACUCGCACAGCCAUUCCUUGAGAUUGUGUAAGAGGUAACUGUCCCUCAGUGAGAAAGGCAGCACAGGAGCCUGGAGGCAGAGCCUAAGGAGGAGUGCCGCUGCUCCCCGUGACCUUUGCAGUCUGACCACCCGCCCAAGGGUGGUGCCCUUCCUGCAGUGGACUGAGCCAUUGCGUGUCCAUCACCAAUUAAAAACUAAACUCCACAAGCUUGCUACAGGCCAGUUUUACACAGCGUUCUCUCAGUCCUCUCCUCAGACAGCGCUAACCUGUGUUACGUCGACAAGAACCGACUGGCACACUGGAGCUGCUGCAAGUUGGGGCUUUCAGGUCUCAGCAUCCCACCAAGCUACGCCUCCCUCAGAGCUGGGGUUCCCUCCAUAACAUGCAGACCAGUUUUCUCUACAGAAAAACUACAGUUUUAACUACAGAUAUUUGUUAACAUCAUGGCCCAACCAGGAGCUUAGAAACCCCUCAUGCAUGGGGCUCAGGUUUUUAAGUGACUUUGCUGUCAGAAGAUACACCGCCUCUGUUUGUUUUUUCCCUCCGACACUAUCUCUCGGGAGAGUUUCUGGUCAAGAGAAUUAUGUUGAGGCUGCAGAUUUCGAGAGAAUUGCGCCUAAUGGGGAACAGACGGACAAGACACCUUUCAUGUCCGGCCAAGUUUCUCUCCCCUCCUCUUUUCUCUCUCUCUCCCUCUUCUCAUCUUCCCUUUUUGGCUUCAAAAUUGGCCCUGGUCUGUGCGUGUUUCUUUGGUACAUCUGCUGAAUAAGGUCACACGUUGAUUUUAUUUUGGAAAUUGGCAGCCCAGUCAAGCUGAGCUCUGAGGCUGCAGAACAAGGCCACUGUUGGGACAGUGCUGGGCCCAGAUAACUGGCGCGGAGCGGUCUAACCCAUUAGCAGUUGAGAAGCACUUCUGUACCCAAGUUGCGCCAUCUGCCGCUGAGGCACCUCAGAGUGCUUGUAGGAAUGAAAUGUAAGGAAGGUGCUGUGCCUGCUCCUGUUCCUUCCAAAUGCUCCUUCAGUUGACCUGUGCAGUAUGCAGUACUUUAUAGGGAAGAAAGCGUUAGUUCUGGGGCCCCUUGGGAUGCUUAAGUCAUUAAAAGAGAACUUAAGUUUAAGGAGCUUGUAAAUGCCCACUCAAGGGCUGGGGAAAUGGCUCAGUGGGAAGAAGUGUUUGCUGUGCAAACACCUGAGGUCCAUCCCUGGAUCAGGGUGGAAAGAGAGUGUUCAUUCCAGCAAGUUCUUCUCUGAUUUCCAUAUGCACACCUGUGCUCAAACAUAUCAUGCACUCAUGUUGUAACUAUAAAUAUUAAAAAAAAAAGAUGUCUGCACAAACAUAUAGACCAUGGUGUACACAAGUAGAUAGAAAAGAGUUGGGAAAGAGCAGUCUUCUUGGGCUGGGAAAUGGUUCAGUGGUAGUGCCCUUGCUUAGCUUAUGCUAGGGUCUGGGUUAGAUCCCCAGAACAACAUAAAACAAAACCAAAAAUCCCCUUCCUUUGUGCUCCUCCAGAGAAGGCAGAUUAGUAAAACAUUUGGGAGGAUGGCGGUGGUUUGGAUUCCUUGGCCCUUAGUCAUGAGGAUGAGGUAAGAGCAUCCAACUGAUUUCAUGGUAAGGACAGUCACAGUCCUCAGCAAACCAUUUCCAACUGCACCCUGGCAACACCCCACACAGCCCCCUUUCAGGAACAGCCCUUCUUCUGAAGCUCUGGUGGGGAGCAUGACAGUGACUCCUUUUCCAAAGCACAAAGCCAAUGUCCUGUUGGAGCCCGUUCCUUCCCUGUCUAGCCUUAGGCAACAGAAUUGGCUCCAGCCCAGAGUUGUGUGUGUGUGGCGGGGGAAGGACAUGACAGUUUUGUAUGCUUUGAGCCCUGUGGACUGUGUGAGAAUGGAUCUGGAGGAGGAUUGUGGGGGCCAGGGAGGUGGGAUGAUGGCAGGCUGAUUCUAAAUGUCUGGGAAGUGGAACGAUGGGAGGCAGAGUCUCCCCAUGUCUGGGCUUCAUUCUCCUUCCUUCUCACCCCCUCUGCUUGUGGUUUCAGAGUUUGUUCUGUAUUAAGAUACAUCAGUUCUCAGCUAGCACGAUGGAAAAAAUGUGCUUUUCUUUCACAGCAAUCUGGCUUUCUGAGGUUAUAGCUGCAAAUCUAAAACACUGCUUAUCAUCGAUUAAAGUUAGCAAUGAAGGCUACAUGGGACUUGGUAGCAGAUUAUCCGCAGAAAAACCCCAGGGUGCCAGUCUUAGCACUGCCAAGUAAUAAUAAUAAUGAUGAUGAUGAUGAUAAGAUAAUAAUAAUAGAAGCCAAUAAUAGUCAUACUAGUCUUGAAUUUACUUCUUGCCAUGCCAACAAAUUUUCCUGUUCUUAGACAAGGUGUGUGUGUGUGUGUGUGUGUGUGUCCACUCCCAACCUCAGUGCAGAUCCAAAACGAGGGUACUAACAGACUGUCUAAAUACCUAGAACACAGAGUUGGAGGGGGAGCUUAGUGGGUAAAGUACUUACUAUGCAAGCAUGAAGCUGAGUUCAAAUCUCCAGAACCCAUGUAAAGCCAGGAACAGUAGCAUAUGUCAACCCCAGUGCUCUUACUGAAAAAGCAAAAUAAAACAAAACAAAAAACGCCCUGAAAGUUUGUGGAACAGCCAGCCUGAUAGCUUGGAAUACACAGUUCUGAACAACAAAGUGACUGUCUUAAACAAGGUGAGGCCCAGACACCACACACCUGAGACACCUCUUGUCUCUACGCAUGUGCAGUGGCAAGGGCAUGCCAUCAUCCACUCACGUGAAUGUGCACACACACAUAUUAGAAAG